Brassica napus (rape) is the source of this 1542-nucleotide long non-coding RNA. RefSeq lists it as uncharacterized. Lineage: Eukaryota; Viridiplantae; Streptophyta; Magnoliopsida; Brassicales; Brassicaceae. The record is from RefSeq and is a predicted model, not a curated record. The transcript is spliced from 2 exons.
GUGGAGUUUCAGAUAAUCUGACAAAGCUACUGACAUAUUGGCAUGCUUGAGAUAAGGGUAAAAUCGACCGAAAAAUAUUACUAUCAAAUCAGGUACAAAACUCUAAUUAAGGACUCACUUAGAGGCAUAGAAGCCAAUUAAUCCUACAAUAUUAGCUCUUAACCAUGAUCGAAGAGAAGACAAUGGAAACAUUGAAUUGUUCAGAUUACGGGUAGUUUAAUUAAUUUAUACUAGAUACAUAAUUCAACUUAAAUAACAUGAUAUCUAGCUGCUAAUUAGCUGUAAUACCAAAAUUUACUUAGAUAACGACCGAUUAAUCAUUGACACUUAGGGGGGUGUAUUGAACUAGGUGUUUUAGGAGAUUACGAGAUUUGGUUAAAAUCAUUUGUUAUUCAACUAAUGAUUUAAAAAAAAAAUUCAAAUCACCUGUUAUUCAAUAUGAAAUUUCUGUAGAGUUAUUAAAUGUCACUUAAAUUCUCCUGUUAUUCAACUAAUCAUUCGUAAAAAUUAUACCAAAUCCACUGUUAUUCAAUGUUAAACAACAAUUUGAAAAUAAAAUUUGUAAAAGGGAUUUGAGGAGAGUUUACACCAGUUUUUAGUUGAAAACAAUUUCUAUAGAAUAACAUCUCUAGAGGUAUUAUUUGAAGAUAAUUGAGAAAAAAAUAACAUUCGUGAAAAAUAAUGUUUUUUUGCUCCUCUGCUUGAGAGCUCUUGUAAGCGGCAGAAGCCUGAGACAGCCUUUCUGGUUUUGACUUCGUCACCUUCAUAAGUAUACAUGGCGGACGAAUCUCAGUACUCUCCCGGCUCUUGCUCAUACAUGCUUCUCUAGCCCCUAAGCCUCUAUGAAAUCUGAAUCAGUGAUUUCGUCCCUUGCAUCCCGAACUUCAAUUCGAUCAAGUAAGCCACCGUCGCGAACGAGGCCGGAGAAAGUGAGGGUGAGUUCUUGGCUCUAGUUAGGUUUAUCUCUUUUCAGAAAUUUUCACCACUGUCUUGCAGUAGAAAUGUUGAUUGAUCCGAGCUGCCACGCCUUGGUCGCUGUUUGAAAAUUGGCUGUCUUGAUAAGUUGAAUUAGUGAUAAAGUGAUGAACUUUAUGAUUGUCAGAUUUCAUUUACAUUUGAAGGUUCAUUAAGCGUGGGGACUACUGUCUUGCUAAAGGGACAAGUUCUGGAUUUCAUACACACAGCAUUGUAUGUUGCACAAGAUGCUUACUUCUCACAACAUUGAAGAUUUGUUGGGGGUUUUGGAGAGAAGCAUUGGGUUCAACCAGCAUGAAGGGAGGAAGGCUUACAUGUAGUUGACUACUUUUCUUUUUAUCGGAGCUUUGUUGACUAAUUUUCUCUUGGUGUGGGAGGAUGGCUUACAUGAAGUUGCUGGAUAAAGUUUAUAAGCAGAAUGAUAUUUCUUGGUUUUUUUCCGGUGGAACUCUUCAAAGUCAAAUUCGUGGAUAGAUUCUUUGGUCAUAUAUAUACAUUAAUGGUCCAUCUGUUGGUAUACAUUAGUGGCCACAAGUUUAUGCAUAUACCUUAUAAGUGAUUAAGUAA